UAGGGUGUGGAAACCCCAGCGCGAAAUGAAAGUGAAGGGCAGCGU
This 45-nucleotide ribosomal RNA is filed under the name Phytophthora infestans T30-4. RNAcentral describes it as "28S ribosomal RNA". The record is from RNAcentral. Lineage: Eukaryota; Oomycota; Peronosporomycetes; Peronosporales; Peronosporaceae.